GAUGAAGAACGUAGCGAAAUGCGAUAAGUAAUGUGAAUUGCAGAAUUCAGUGAAUCAUCGAAUCUUUGAACGCACCUUGCGCCCUUUGGCCAUUCCGAAGGGCAUGCCUGUUUGAGUAUCAUGAACACCUCAACUCUUCAUGGUUUUCCGUGAUGAGCUUGGACUUUGGGGGUCUUGCUGGCCUAUGGUCAGCUCCUCUAAAAUAAAUCAGCUUACCAGUGUUUGGUGGGUAUCAUGGGUGUGAUAACUAUCUACGCUUGUGGUUUUUCCACCAGGUAACCUUCAGCAGUGGAGGUUCGCUGGAGCUCAUAGAUGUCUCUCCUCAGUGAGGACAGCCCUUUGAAUGUUUGAUCUCAAAUCAGGUAGGACUACCCGCUGAACUUAAGCAUAUCAAUAAGCGGAGGA
Molecule: unclassified non-coding RNA, 405 nt
Filed under: soil metagenome
Description: partial contains 5.8S ribosomal RNA, internal transcribed spacer 2, and large subunit ribosomal RNA
Rfam family: 5.8S ribosomal RNA (bases 1-121)
Source: RNAcentral